AGUUUGAUCCUGGCUCAGGAUGAACGCUAGCGGCAGGCUUAAUACAUGCAAGCCGAGGGAUAACUCCCGACUUCGGUCGGGAGUGACCGGCAAACGGGUGAGUAACGCGUAUGUAACCUGCCUUCAGCAGGGGGAUAACCCCGAGAAAUCGGGGCUAAUACCCCAUAGCAUUCCAAUAGAGCAUCCUGUUGGAAUUAAAGGUUCGCCGGCUGAAGAUGGGCAUGCGUCCUAUUAGUUAGUUGGUGGGGUAAAGGCCCACCAAGGCCACGAUAGGUAGCUGGCGUGAGAGCGCGGUCAGCCACACGGGCACUGAGACACGGGCCCGACUCCUACGGGAGGCAGCAGUAGGGAAUCUUGGUCAAUGGGUGCAAGCCUGAACCAGCCAUGCCGCGUGCUGGAUGAAGGCCCAAUGGGUCGUAAACAGCUUUUCUCAGGGACGAAUUGUCCUGAUUCGUUCGGGACUUGACGGUACCUGAGGAAUAAGCACCGGCUAACUCCGUGCCAGCAGCCGCGGUAAUACGGAGGGUGCAAGCGUUAUCCGGAAUCACUGGGUUUAAAGGGUGCGCAGGCGGACUGGUAAGUCAACGGUGAAAUCCCCGGGCUUAACCCGGAAAUUGCCGCUGAUACUGCCAGUCUUGAGUGUAGUCGAGGUGAGCGGAAUGUGCCAUGUAGCGGUGAAAUGCGUAGAUAUGGCACAGAACACCGAUUGCGGAAGCAGCUCACUAGGCUACUACUGACGCUCAGGCACGUAAGCGUGGGUAGCAAACAGGAUUAGAUACCCUGGUAGUCCACGCUGUAAACGUUGGUCACUUGCUUUGUCCACCUUUGGUGGGCGAGGCUCAGUGAAAGCGCUAAGUGACCCACCUGGGGAGUACGAUCGCAAGGUUGAAACUCAAAGGAAUUGGCGGGAGUCCGCACAAGCGGUGGAGCACGUGGUUUAAUUCGAUGAUAAGCGAGGAACCUUACCUGGACUAGAAUACAUGGUGCUACCUCGUGAAAACGAGGGUUCCUUCGGGACACCAUGUAAGGUGUUGCAUGGCUGUCGUCAGCUCGUGCCGUGAGGUGUUGGGUUAAGUCCCGUAACGAGCGCAACCCCUAUCCUUAGUUGCCAGCAGUUCGGCUGGGAACUCUAGGGAAACUGCCUGCGCAAGCAGGAGGAAGGUCGGGAUGACGUCAAGUCAUCAUGACCCUUAUGUCCAGGGCUACACACGUGCUACAAUGGCUGGUACAAAGGGCAGCCACUUGACGACAAGGAGCGAAUCCCAAAAAGCCAGUAGUAGUUCGGAUCGGAGUCUGCAAUUCGACUCCGGGA
Molecule: ribosomal RNA, 1312 nt
Filed under: uncultured bacterium
Lineage: Bacteria
Description: bacterial SSU rRNA
Rfam family: Bacterial small subunit ribosomal RNA
Source: RNAcentral